This 492-nucleotide ribosomal RNA is filed under the name uncultured bacterium. Its description in RNAcentral is "partial 16S ribosomal RNA". It matches the Rfam family "Bacterial small subunit ribosomal RNA", at positions 29 to 507 of the family's 1533-position model. The record is from RNAcentral.
AGUGAACGCUGGCGGUAGGCCUAACACAUGCAAGUCGAACGGCAGCACAGUAAGAGCUUGCUCUUACGGGUGGCGAGUGGCGGACGGGUGAGGAAUACAUCGGAAUCUACUUUUUCGUGGGGGAUAACGUAGGGAAACUUACGCUAAUACCGCAUACGACCUACGGGUGAAUGCAGGGGAUCUUCGGACCUUGCGCGAUUGAAUGAGCCGAUGUCGGAUUAGCUAGUUGGCGGGGUAAAGGCCCACCAAGGCGACGAUCCGUAGCUGGUCUGAGAGGAUGAUCAGCCAAAAUAGAACUGAGAAACGGUCCAGACUGCUACGGGAGGCAGCAGUGGGGAAUAUUGGACAAUAGGCGGAAGCCUGAUCCAGCCAUACCGCGUGGGUUAAGAAGGCCUUCGGGUUGUAAAGCCCUUUUGUUGGGAAAGAAAAGCAGCAGGUUAAUACCCCGCUGUUCUGACGGUACCAAAAGAAUAAGCACCGGCUAACUUCGUG